AGAGUUUGAUCAUGGCUCAGGAUGAACGCUGGCGGCGUGCCUAAUACAUGCAAGUCGUGCGGAAAGGCCACUUCGGUGGUACUCGAGCGGCGGACGGCAGAGUAACGCGUAGGAACAUACCCCAAACUGAGGGAUAACUGCUCGAAAGAGUAGCUAAUACCGCAUGUGAUCUUCGGAUUAAAGCUUCGGCGGUUUGGGAAUGGCCUGCGUCCGAUUAGCUUGUUGGUGAGGUAAUAGCUCACCAAGGCGACGAUCGGUAGCUGGUCUGAGAGGAUGAUCAGCCUGACUGGAACUGAGAACGGUCCAGACUCCUACGGGAGGCAGCAGUAGGGAAUUUUCCACAAUGGGCGAAAGCCUGAUGGAGCAACGCCGCGUGCAGGAUGAAUGCCUUCGGGUUGUAAACUGCUUUUAUUAGUGAAGAAUAUGACGGUAACUAAUGAAUAAGGGUCGGCUAACUACGUG
RNAcentral lists this ribosomal RNA (462 nucleotides) under uncultured bacterium. Its description in RNAcentral is "bacterial SSU rRNA". It matches the Rfam family "Bacterial small subunit ribosomal RNA", at positions 8 to 507 of the family's 1533-position model. The record is from RNAcentral.